Molecule: ribosomal RNA, 889 nt
Filed under: Staphylococcus epidermidis
Lineage: Bacteria; Bacillati; Bacillota; Bacilli; Caryophanales; Staphylococcaceae
Description: bacterial SSU rRNA
Rfam family: Bacterial small subunit ribosomal RNA
Source: RNAcentral
GCGAGUAGGGACGCGCUCCUCUGUACGUUAUCGGCGGAGGGUGAGUAACACGUGGAUAACCUACCUAUAACACUGGGAUAACUUCAGGAAACCGGAUCUCAUACCGGAUAAAAUAUUGUACCGCACGGUUCAAUAUUGAAAGACGGUUUUGCUGUCGCUUAUUGAUGGAUCCCCGCCGCAUUAUCUACUUGGUAAGGUAACGGCUUACCAAGGCAACGAUGCGUAGCCGACCUGAUAGGGUGAUCGGCCACACUGGAGCUGAUACACGGUCCACACUCCUACGGGAGGCAGCAGUAGGGAAUCUUCCUCAAUGGGGGAAAACCUGACGGAGCAACGCCGCGUGAGUGAUGAAGGUCUUCUGAUCAUAAAACUCUGUUAUUACGGAAGAACAACUGUGUAAGUAACUAUGCCCGUCUUGACGGUACCUAAUCAGAAAACCACGGCUAACUACUUGCCGCCAGCCGCGGUAAUACUUAGGUGGCAAGCGUUAUCCGGAAUUAUUGGGCGUAAAGCGCGCGUAGGCGGUUUUUUAUUUCUGAUGUUGAAGCCCACGGCUCAUCCGCGGAGGGUCAUUGUAGACUGGAGAACUUGAGUGCGGAAAAGAAGAGUGUAGUUCUAUGUGUAGCGGUGAGAUGCGCAGAGAUAUGGAGGAGCACCACUGGCGAAGGCGACUUUCUGGUCUGUAACUGACGACUGCAUGAUGCGAAAGCGUGGUGGAUCAUACACGAUAUAUACUCCUGGUGGUCCACGACGUAACGAUGAUGCUGACUGUAUGAGGUUUCCUGCACCCUAUGCUGCAGCUACGCUUUAUGCACUCUGCCUGGGAGUACGACGGCCACGAUGGAAACUCACGAUGAUCGGGAACCGCAACGCUGAGCAUGUGGUGAAU